CCAGUGCAGAUUUAUGGCCUCAAUGCAGUCUUCAACCACCACUUCCACCAAUAUACAAAGAGAAGAAGGGCAGACCACAAAAAUUAAGAAGAAGAGAAUCAGAUGAGCCCCCUGCCCCAGGUCAGACAAAGUUGAAGAAAAGUUGCAGAACCAAUAAAUGUAGAAGAUGUGGACAAACAUGACACAAUGUGAGGAGAUGUGGACAGAGUGGAGGGACACAUGAAAGUAGAGUUGAGAAGAAUGUUAUAGAACCUCCAACCAAUCCAUCUGACCCUCAACCAACCACUCAAACUCAACCACAACCUCAAUCAACCACACAACCCCAGCCUAACAAAAGGGGGAAACAUGAGGCCAGAAGACCAAGUAAUGUUGGAAUAAAUAUAGGACAUAUGUCCAAUGCAACUACUUCAGUGACUAUCAAUCAAGGUUCAGCAGCAAAUAUUCUGGUGAAUGGAAGGUGAACUACAUCACAUUGUCCAAUUUAAAAGCUUCAGUUGGGAAUCAAGACAAAUGAGCAUCAACCUCUACUCCUCAUUCAAUGAGACCACCACUCACAAAGACUCCCCCUUCAAGGACUGCACCUGGAUCUUUGUCUGCUCUAAGGACAAGAUCAACUCCCACCCCAAAUCCUACAAGGACAUCUAACAAAGAAGAUGGCACCUCAUCAAAGACUAGAUCUGAUGCUUACAGUCUUUAGAUCAAUUUUAUGUUAUUUUUGUGUUUUUUGGUUUGAACUGUCUGUUUGGUGGUUGAUUUGGCAAUUUCUGAACUUAUGUAACAGAAAGAUUUGUUGUGUUUCUGUUACAAGUGUUUGUUGGUUUCAAGUAUGUGUUUUGUGCACUGUUGUGUUGGUUUGAACUCUGUUGCAUUGUUUUGUGCACUGUUGUGUUGGUUUGUGUUAUUGUGUUGCUUUUUGAUGAAUUUAUGUGAUGUAACAUAUUUUUGUUAAUUGAUGUUUGUUGCUUUAAUGGUUGUUUAAACAUUU
Molecule: RNA transcript, 985 nt
Organism: Erythranthe guttata (spotted monkey flower)
Lineage: Eukaryota; Viridiplantae; Streptophyta; Magnoliopsida; Lamiales; Phrymaceae
Source: RefSeq, a predicted model, not a curated record